This 440-nucleotide ribosomal RNA is filed under the name uncultured bacterium. RNAcentral's name for it is "bacterial SSU rRNA". It matches the Rfam family "Bacterial small subunit ribosomal RNA", at positions 338 to 771 of the family's 1533-position model. The record is from RNAcentral.
CCUACGGGUGGCAGCAGUCGAGAAUUUUUCUCAAUGGGGGAAACCCUGAAGGAGCGACGCCGCGUGGAGGAUGAAGGUCUUCGGGUUGUAAACUCCUGUCAUUUGGGAACAAUGCUUACGUAUUAACUGUACGUGAGUUGAUAGUACCAGAAGAGGAAGAGACGGCUAACUCUGUGCCAGCAGCCGCGGUAAUACAGAGGUCUCAAGCGUUGUUCGGAUUCAUUGGGCGUAAAGGGUGUGUAGGUGGCGCGCUAAGUCGGGUGUGAAAUUUCGGAGCUUAACUCCGAAACUGCAUUCGAUACUGGCGUGCUUGAGGACUGGAGAGGAGACUGGAAUUCAUGGUGUAGCAGUGAAAUGCGUAGAGAUCAUGAGGAAGACCAGUGGCGAAGGCGGGUCUCUGGACAGUUCCUGACACUGAGACACGAAGGCCAGGGGAGCAA